GGCAGUGGUAGAUUAGUUGUUAAGAGAUUGGACUGCUGCUUGGAAGGUCGUGAGUUCAAAUCCCAGCACUGCCA
Non-coding RNA from Ameiurus melas (black bullhead), 74 nucleotides. NCBI's taxonomy places the organism in Eukaryota, Metazoa, Chordata, Actinopteri, Siluriformes, Ictaluridae. The record is from the annotation of a GenBank genome assembly.